GUGAACGCUGGCGGUAGGCCUAACACCUGCAAGUCGAACGGCAGCACAGUAAGAGCUUGCUCUUACGGGUGGCGAGUGGCGGACGGGUGAGGAAUACAUCGGAAUCUACUUUUUCGUGGGGGAUAACGUAGGGAAACUUACGCUAAUACCGCAUACGACCUACGGGUGAAAGCAGGGGAUCUUCGGACCUUGCGCGAUCGAAUGAGCCGAUGUCGGAUUAGCUAGUUGGCGGGGUAAAGGCCCACCAAGGCGACGAUCCGUAGCUGGUCUGAGAGGAUGAUCAGCCACACUGGAACUGAGACACGGUCCAGACUCCUACGGGAGGCAGCAGUGGGGAAUAUUGGACAAUGGGCGCAAGCCCGAUCCAGCCAUACCGCGUGGGUGAAGAAGGCCUUCGGGUUGUAAAGCCCUUUUGUUGGGAAAGAAAAGCAGCAGGUUAAUACCCCGCUGUUCUGACGGUACCCAAAGAAUAAGCACCGGCUAACUUCGUG
Molecule: ribosomal RNA, 491 nt
Filed under: uncultured bacterium
Lineage: Bacteria
Description: partial 16S ribosomal RNA
Rfam family: Bacterial small subunit ribosomal RNA
Source: RNAcentral